Long non-coding RNA from Folsomia candida, 710 nucleotides. RefSeq lists it as uncharacterized. NCBI's taxonomy places the organism in Eukaryota, Metazoa, Arthropoda, Collembola, Entomobryomorpha, Isotomidae. The transcript has 3 exons. The record is from RefSeq and is a predicted model, not a curated record.
CCUCACACCCGAUGACGACGGGGAUGGCAAGCUACAGGGAUAAUGAAGGAAGGGUCAGAACUAAUUACAACAGGGGAUGGAGAUCACUAUCUCUGAAAAGCGGAUUUUGUAGAUCCUCCUCCUCCUCCCCUCGUUUUUUAUCGAUCCAUGGACGGAAAUGUAAUUGUGCUCUUUGCCGAGCAAAAACAGGUCUCGUUCAUCACAAAACCUACCCCAAGGAAGACAUGGUUGAGCUUUGUUACGUGUGUGUGUGUGGGGUUGUGGUAAUGGCAGCCACAUUUGAGGCAUAAAAAGGGAGUGUACGUAAAAAAUCGAUCAUGAAACUAAUCUUGCCAGGGAUUGAUAGGGAGCCGCCCUUAAUCGAUUGCUCACACGCUCUUGACACGCGAACGCGAUAUGGAUAGAAAGGGAGUCGUACUAGAUUUGUCACUCGUGCUGUUUUAUAUAAAUAGUAGAUCCGAUCCGAUCUACCUCUAAGCUCACCGGAUAAAAAUGAGACCCUUCAGCUUCAGUUUUUUGUCGGGGGACCCUGUGGAGAACACGCGUCUAAAAAUAUGUAUACACUUUUAUUCAGAGUUUCUCGCCAACAAUGGUCAAAAACUGUAAAGGGGAUCACCUAUUUAUUCGGAUUCAACAGAAUGAAUAUUUUUAUGUAGUACAUAUGAAUGUCACAGUUUGUACUUUUUUCUCUCCAUUUUUCACGUAUCCAG